GACGAACGCUGGCGGCGUGCUUAACACAUGCAAGUCGAACGGAAAGGCCCUGCUUUUGUGGGGUGCUCGAGUGGCGAACGGGUGAGUAACACGUGAGUAACCUGCCCUUGACUUUGGGAUAACUUCAGGAAACUGGGGCUAAUACCGGAUAGGAGCUCCUGCUGCAUGGUGGGGGUUGGAAAGUUUCGGCGGUUGGGGAUGGACUCGCGGCUUAUCAGCUUGUUGGUGGGGUAGUGGCUUACCAAGGCUUUGACGGGUAGCCGGCCUGAGAGGGUGACCGGCCACAUUGGGACUGAGAUACGGCCCAGACUCCUACGGGAGGCAGCAGUGGGGAAUAUUGCACAAUGGGCGGAAGCCUGAUGCAGCAACGCCGCGUGCGGGAUGAAGGCCUUCGGGUUGUAAACCGCUUUCGCCUGUGGCGAAGCGUGAGUGACGGUAAUGGGUAAAGAAGCACCGGCUAACUACGUG
RNAcentral lists this ribosomal RNA (468 nucleotides) under uncultured bacterium. RNAcentral describes it as "partial 16S ribosomal RNA". It matches the Rfam family "Bacterial small subunit ribosomal RNA", at positions 28 to 507 of the family's 1533-position model. The record is from RNAcentral.